AAAGAAUUAGUUAAAAAUAACAUAAAUAUGUCAUAUUUAAAUUACUACAUUUAUAGUAUUCUUUU
Molecule: transfer RNA, 65 nt
Filed under: Eubasilissa regina
Lineage: Eukaryota; Metazoa; Arthropoda; Insecta; Trichoptera; Phryganeidae
Description: tRNA-Asp
Source: RNAcentral